CGGGAGGCAGCAGUAGGGAAUAUUGCACAAUGGGGGAAACCCUGAUGCAGCGACGCCGCGUGAGGGAUGACGGCCUUCGGGUUGUAAACCUCUUUCAGUAGGGAAGAAGCCUUCGGGUGACGGUACCUGCAGAAGAAGUACCGGCUAACUACGUGCCAGCAGCCGCGGUAAUACGUAGGGUACAAGCGUUGUCCGGAAUUAUUGGGCGUAAAGAGCUCGUAGGCGGUUCGUCGCGUCUGCUGUGGAAACGCAAGGCUCAACCUUGCGCGUGCAGUGGGUACGGGCGGACUAGAGUGCAGUAGGGGAGUCUGGAAUUCCUGGUGUAGCGGUGAAAUGCGCAGAUAUCAGGAGGAACACCGGUGGCGAAGGCGGGACUCUGGGCUGUAACUGACGCUGAGGAGCGAAAGCAUGGGGAGCGAACAGGAUUAGAUACCCUGGUAGUCCAUGCCGUAAACGUUGGGCACUAGGUGUGGGGCUCAUUCCACGAGUUCCGCGCCGCAGCUAACGCAUUAAGCACUCCGCCUGGGGAG
Molecule: ribosomal RNA, 530 nt
Filed under: Bacillus subtilis
Lineage: Bacteria; Bacillati; Bacillota; Bacilli; Caryophanales; Bacillaceae
Description: bacterial SSU rRNA
Rfam family: Bacterial small subunit ribosomal RNA
Source: RNAcentral